UUGAACCUCUAACAUAAUUCCUUUAUUUUACCAUAGCACAUUUUCUAAAAUCUGUUUAGCACUUAUUUAAUUAUGUAGGAUAUUAUAGUUAACAGAAUGCCCUUAGUCUCUACAGAGAGUUGUGCUUGAAACAGACAAAGCAGGCUGCAGCAUGGAUAGUGCCCUGGGACAGAGAGCUUGUGCUUGUACUGCGUUCGCAUUUAUGGGGAAGCUAGGGCAGAACGGAAAUACUUAACCAGUCCUGUAGCAAUAGGAGUUUCCCAUCAGGGCAAUGGCCUUGCUGGUGAGAAUAUGUGGAACUUGGACAGCAGCCAUCUAGGGGAA
This 324-nucleotide long non-coding RNA is filed under the name Pan troglodytes (chimpanzee). Its description in RNAcentral is "long non-coding RNA NONPTRT016302". Lineage: Eukaryota; Metazoa; Chordata; Mammalia; Primates; Hominidae. The record is from RNAcentral.